This 70-nucleotide transfer RNA is filed under the name Heterocephalus glaber (naked mole-rat). It matches the Rfam family "tRNA". From Rfam's summary of the family: Transfer RNA (tRNA) molecules are approximately 80 nucleotides in length. Their secondary structure includes four short double-helical elements and three loops (D, anti-codon, and T loops). Lineage: Eukaryota; Metazoa; Chordata; Mammalia; Rodentia; Bathyergidae. The record is from Rfam by way of RNAcentral.
AGGGGUGUAGCUCAGUGGCAGAGCACUUGCCUAAUAUGUGAGGCCCUAGGUUCCAUCCCCAGCACCACAA